GCGACCCAAUCUUGGUUUCCA
Molecule: microRNA, 21 nt
Filed under: Bos taurus (domestic cattle)
Lineage: Eukaryota; Metazoa; Chordata; Mammalia; Artiodactyla; Bovidae
Description: bta-miR-551a
Gene: bta-miR-551a
Source: miRBase by way of RNAcentral